This 1430-nucleotide ribosomal RNA is filed under the name Lactiplantibacillus plantarum. RNAcentral describes it as "bacterial SSU rRNA". It matches the Rfam family "Bacterial small subunit ribosomal RNA". Lineage: Bacteria; Bacillati; Bacillota; Bacilli; Lactobacillales; Lactobacillaceae. The record is from RNAcentral.
GCAGUCGAACGAACUCUGGUAUUGAUUGGUGCUUGCAUCAUGAUUUACAUUUGCGUGAGUGGCGAACUGGUGAGUAACACGUGGGAAACCUGCCCAGAAGCGGGGGAUAACACCUGGAAACAGAUGCUAAUACCGCAUAACAACUUGGACCGCAUGGUCCGAGUUUGAAAGAUGGCUUCGGCUAUCACUUUUGGAUGGUCCCGCGGCGUAUUAGCUAGAUGGUGGGGUAACGGCUCACCAUGGCAAUGAUACGUAGCCGACCUGAGAGGGUAAUCGGCCACAUUGGGACUGAGACACGGCCCAAACUCCUACGGGAGGCAGCAGUAGGGAAUCUUCCACAAUGGACGAAAGUCUGAUGGAGCAACGCCGCGUGAGUGAAGAAGGGUUUCGGCUCGUAAAACUCUGUUGUUAAAGAAGAACAUAUCUGAGAGUAACUGUUCAGGUAUUGACGGUAUUUAACCAGAAAGCCACGGCUAACUACGUGCCAGCAGCCGCGGUAAUACGUAGGUGGCAAGCGUUGUCCGGAUUUAUUGGGCGUAAAGCGAGCGCAGGCGGUUUUUUAAGUCUGAUGUGAAAGCCUUCGGCUCAACCGAAGAAGUGCAUCGGAAACUGGGAAACUUGAGUGCAGAAGAGGACAGUGGAACUCCAUGUGUAGCGGUGAAAUGCGUAGAUAUAUGGAAGAACACCAGUGGCGAAGGCGGCUGUCUGGUCUGUAACUGACGCUGAGGCUCGAAAGUAUGGGUAGCAAACAGGAUUAGAUACCCUGGUAGUCCAUACCGUAAACGAUGAAUGCUAAGUGUUGGAGGGUUUCCGCCCUUCAGUGCUGCAGCUAACGCAUUAAGCAUUCCGCCUGGGGAGUACGGCCGCAAGGCUGAAACUCAAAGGAAUUGACGGGGGCCCGCACAAGCGGUGGAGCAUGUGGUUUAAUUCGAAGCUACGCGAAGAACCUUACCAGGUCUUGACAUACUAUGCAAAUCUAAGAGAUUAGACGUUCCCUUCGGGGACAUGGAUACAGGUGGUGCAUGGUUGUCGUCAGCUCGUGUCGUGAGAUGUUGGGUUAAGUCCCGCAACGAGCGCAACCCUUAUUAUCAGUUGCCAGCAUUAAGUUGGGCACUCUGGUGAGACUGCCGGUGACAAACCGGAGGAAGGUGGGGAUGACGUCAAAUCAUCAUGCCCCUUAUGACCUGGGCUACACACGUGCUACAAUGGAUGGUACAACGAGUUGCGAACUCGCGAGAGUAAGCUAAUCUCUUAAAGCCAUUCUCAGUUCGGAUUGUAGGCUGCAACUCGCCUACAUGAAGUCGGAAUCGCUAGUAAUCGCGGAUCAGCAUGCCGCGGUGAAUACGUUCCCGGGCCUUGUACACACCGCCCGUCGCACCAUGAGAGUUUGUAACACCCAAAGUCGGUGGGGUAACCUUUUAGGAACCAGC